GGAAUAUUGGGCAAUGGGCGCAAGCCUGACCCAGCGACGCCGCGUGAGGGAUGAAGGUCUUCGGAUUGUAAACCUCUUUCAGUAGGGAAGAAGCGAAAGUGACGGUACCUAGAGAAGAAGCACCGGCUAACUAUGUGCCAGCAGCCGCGGUAAUACAUAGGGUGCAAGCGUUGUCCGGAAUUAUUGGGCGUAAAGAGCUCGUAGGUCGUUUGUCGCGUCGAUUGUGAAAAUCUGAGGCUCAACCUCAGACCUGCAGUCGAUACGGGCAAACUAGAGUGUGGUAGGGGAGACUGGAAUUCCUGGUGUAGCGGUGGAAUGCGCAGAUAUCAGGAGGAACACCAAUGGCGAAGGCAGGUCUCUGGGCCAUAACUGACACUGAGGAGCGAAAGUGCGGGGAGCGAACAGGAUUAGAUACCCUGGUAGUCCGCACCGUAAACGGUGGGCACUAGUUGUGGGAACCUUCCACGGUUUCCGCGACGCAGCAAACGCAUUAAGUGCCCCGCCUGGGGAGUACGAUCGCAAGAUUAAAACUCAAAGGAAUUGACGG
This 547-nucleotide ribosomal RNA is filed under the name uncultured bacterium. RNAcentral describes it as "bacterial SSU rRNA". It matches the Rfam family "Bacterial small subunit ribosomal RNA", at positions 358 to 916 of the family's 1533-position model. The record is from RNAcentral.